AGGCGGUGCGUAUCCCAUAAAGCCGAUCGUAGUCCGGAUCGCAGUCUGCAACUCGACUGCAAAAGUCGGAAUCGCGCGUAAUCGCGAAUAAGAAUGUUGCGGGGAAUACGUUUCCGGGCCUCUACGCACCUCCCGUCACACCAUGGGAGUGGGUUGCACCAGAAGUAGCUAGUCUAAACUUGUGGAGUACAGAACCUCGGUG
RNAcentral lists this ribosomal RNA (202 nucleotides) under Pseudomonas sp. RNAcentral describes it as "partial 16S ribosomal RNA". It matches the Rfam family "Bacterial small subunit ribosomal RNA", at positions 1260 to 1464 of the family's 1533-position model. The record is from RNAcentral. Lineage: Bacteria; Pseudomonadati; Pseudomonadota; Gammaproteobacteria; Pseudomonadales; Pseudomonadaceae.